RNAcentral lists this ribosomal RNA (640 nucleotides) under uncultured bacterium. Its description in RNAcentral is "bacterial SSU rRNA". It matches the Rfam family "Bacterial small subunit ribosomal RNA", at positions 28 to 641 of the family's 1533-position model. The record is from RNAcentral.
GACGAACGCUGGCGGCGUGCUUAACACAUGCAAGUCGAACGAGGGCCCAGAGCUUGCUCUGGAGACCCGAGUGGCGAACGGGUGAGUAACACGUGACCAACCUGCCUUCGGGAGGGGGACAACCUGGGGAAACCCGGGCUAAUACCGCAUAAUGUCCACGGAUCGCAUGGUCUGUGGAUAAAAGAGAGCCUCUGCUUGCAAGCUCUCACCCGAAGAGGGGGUCGCGGCGUAUCAGCUAGUUGGUGGGGUAACGGCCUACCAAGGCUACGACGCGUAGCGGGUCUGAGAGGACGAUCCGUCACAUUGGGACUGAGAUACGGCCCAGACUCCUACGGGAGGCAGCAGUGGGGAAUAUUGCGCAAUGGACGCAAGUCUGACGCAGCGACGCCGCGUGUGGGAGGACGCCCUUCGGGGUGUAAACCACUGUCAGGGGGGAAGAACAGCGUAGGUGCAAAUAGUGCUUGCGUUUGACGGUACCCCCAGAGGAAGCGCCGGCUAACUCCGUGCCAGCAGCCGCGGUAAGACGGAGGGCGCAAGCGUUGUUCGGAAUUACUGGGCGUAAAGGGCAGGUAGGCGGUCCAUUAAGUCGUUUGUGAAAAUCCGGGGCUCAACUCCGGAAAUGCAGACGAAACUGGCGGAC